Long non-coding RNA from Gymnodraco acuticeps, 1012 nucleotides. RefSeq lists it as uncharacterized. The transcript is spliced from 5 exons. The record is from RefSeq and is a predicted model, not a curated record. Lineage: Eukaryota; Metazoa; Chordata; Actinopteri; Perciformes; Bathydraconidae.
GCCCUUAGCAUUCGCCUAUAUUGCCUAUGCCGAGGGCCGCCCUGGGCACAAGGCAGAAGGCAGAAGAAGAAUCUUAGUUGUAGAAACAGUAGACUCGUCGAAAAAUGUCCACGAGAAACUUCAUCUUGCAUUGCAAAAGGACAAUAAAUGACUGCACAAGACUUCUCCAAACAGAUGAUGGUCAUGCUGUGUUACAAUCCACAAUAGUGAGGACCUUCGGGAAUAUAUAGAUGAAGUCCGGAGAUCUUGGCCUACCACAACCGCACAACAAGGUCAUUCUGGCUACCACGCCCCACUCAUUCUGUUGGGUGGCCGAGGUCCCCCACAAUACAGCAUUUCGAGGGAGCAACUCUCUUUUUUGAGGAGCUGUGGUUUUACAGCUACAAAGAUGGCGCAGAUAUUAAAAGUAUCUCUGCGCACAGUGAGACGGCGUUUGAGGCAGUUCCACAGGCCUGCACCUUGUCGUGACCACUGUGUCAAGUGUCCCAUUUGGGUUGCCGUAUGUAGCAGACCAUCUCGCACAUGCGCAGUACAGAUCGGGCAGGGGGUGCAGAUCAUGUGGGCAGAUCGGUAGUGACAGAGGUAAUCGUCGUAACCAGCAGUCUUCAUCCGCCUCUAUCCAGUCUUUGACACUUGGAAAACGAGCACAUGUGAUACUGGUUAGGAUAAACUAAUGUUAAUAUAUAUAUAUAUAUAUAUUAAUAUAAUUUCACAUACCGAAACGUUAACGCUUGUCUGAGUAUAUCUUCCGUUGACUCUGGCUGUGGGUCUUACCGGCUGUUGAUAGCCCUUAUAAGCUAACGCUAGCAUGCUUUAUUCAGACAUUAGCCUUUAGCCCGCUUGGAUUUAUGGGUGGCUAACGUUACUACAGUCCGGUAGCUCAUUUAAGAAAAUGUAACGUUAUUUAUGGGAAACGUUAGCCUACGUGUGUCUGGCCGUGACUGACUGAGUAGGCCGUAAAAGCUUGUGCUAAUGUUUAGCAUGCGCUAACGUUUAUCUUGUGCUAAUGUUU